CAGCCGCCACGGUAAUACGAAGGGGGCUAGCGUUGUUCGGAAUUACUGGGCGUAAAGCGCACGCAGGCGGCUCGAUAAAUUAGAAGUGAAAGCCUUGGGCUUAACCUGAGAAUUGCUUUUAAGACUGUCGAGCUAGAAUCCAGAAGAGGGUAGUGGAAUUCCGAGUGUAGAGGUGAAAUUCGUAGAUAUUCGGAAGAACACCAGUGGCGAAGGCGGCAACCUGGUCCAUGACUGACGCUGAGGCGCGAAAGCGUGGGGAGCAAACAGGAUUAGAUACCCGUGUAGUCCCUGUCUCUUAUAC
Molecule: ribosomal RNA, 301 nt
Filed under: uncultured bacterium
Lineage: Bacteria
Description: partial 16S ribosomal RNA
Rfam family: Bacterial small subunit ribosomal RNA
Source: RNAcentral